This 770-nucleotide ribosomal RNA is filed under the name uncultured Acaulosporaceae. Its description in RNAcentral is "eukaryotic LSU rRNA". It matches the Rfam family "Eukaryotic large subunit ribosomal RNA", at positions 11 to 694 of the family's 3401-position model. Lineage: Eukaryota; Fungi; Glomeromycota; Glomeromycetes; Diversisporales; Acaulosporaceae. The record is from RNAcentral.
GUCAAGUAAGAAUACCCGCUGAACUUAAGCAUAUCAAUAAGCGGAGGAAAAGAAACUAACUAGGAUUCCCUUAGUAACGGCGAGUGAACUGGGAAGAGCUCAAAUUUUAAAUCACUUUGGUGAAUUGUAAUUUGAAGAAAGUGUUUUGACUUUUCAGUUUAAUCUAAAUCCUUUGGGAUGAGGUAUCAUAGAGGGUGAGAAUCCCGUUUGUGAUUAAACCUCGGAUUGCACUAAUUCACUUUCUAAGAGUCGAGUUGUUUGGGAUUGCAGCUCUAAAUGGGUGGUAAAUUUCACCUAAGGCUAAAUAUAUGCAAGAGACCGAUAGCGAACAAGUACCGUGAGGGAAAGAUGAAAAGAACUUUGAAAAGAGAGUUAAACAGUACGUGAAAUUGUUGAAAGGGAAACGAUUGAAGUCAGUCAUGCUAGUGAGGAAUCAACUUGGUGGUUUACUUCCUUGUGUAUUUUCUUACUUGGCAGGUUAGCAUCAAUUUUGGUUGUCAUCAAAUAAUUGGGGGAAUGUGGCUUUUCUUCGGGAAAGUGUUAUAGACCUUGAUAGAUGUGGCGACUGAGAUUGAGGUUUGCAGCGAAUGCCUUGGGUUAGUCAUCUGUCUUCUGACCGUCACCUCGCUUUUGACAGCUUGCUGAUGAUUGCGGGAUUUGGUGGCCUAGAAGUUAGAAUGUACAUAAAUUCGCUAAGGAUGCUGACGUAAUGGCUUUAAACGACCCGUCUUGAAACACGGACCAAGGAGUCUAACAUAUGUGCGAGUGUU